This 743-nucleotide ribosomal RNA is filed under the name uncultured bacterium. RNAcentral describes it as "bacterial SSU rRNA". It matches the Rfam family "Bacterial small subunit ribosomal RNA", at positions 94 to 823 of the family's 1533-position model. The record is from RNAcentral.
AGCGGCGGAUGGGUGAGUAACACGUGGGGAACCUGCCCCUAAGUCUGGGAUACCAUUUGGAAACAGGUGCUAAUACCGGAUAAUAAAGCAGAUCGCAUGAUCAGCUUUUGAAAGGCGGCGUAAGCUGUCGCUAAGGGAUGGCCCCGCGGUGCAUUAGCUAGUUGGUAAGGUAACGGCUUACCAAGGCGACGAUGCAUAGCCGAGUUGAGAGACUGAUCGGCCACAUUGGGACUGAGACACGGCCCAAACUCCUACGGGAGGCAGCAGUAGGGAAUCUUCCACAAUGGACGCAAGUCUGAUGGAGCAACGCCGCGUGAGUGAAGAAGGUUUUCGGAUCGUAAAGCUCUGUUGUUGGUGAAGAAGGAUAGAGGUAGUAACUGGCCUUUAUUUGACGGUAAUCAACCAGAAAGUCACGGCUAACUACGUGCCAGCAGCCGCGGUAAUACGUAGGUGGCAAGCGUUGUCCGGAUUUAUUGGGCGUAAAGCGAGCGCAGGCGGAAAAAUAAGUCUAAUGUGAAAGCCCUCGGCUUAACCGAGGAACUGCAUCGGAAACUGUUUUUCUUGAGUGCAGAAGAGGAGAGUGGAACUCCAUGUGUAGCGGUGGAAUGCGUAGAUAUAUGGAAGAACACCAGUGGCGAAGGCGGCUCUCUGGUCUGCAACCGACGCUGAGGCUCGAAAGCAUGGGUAGCGAACAGGAUUAGAUACCCUGGUAGUCCAUGCCGUAAACGAUGAGUGCUAAGUGU